GACAGAGGAUGCAAACGUUGCUCGGAAUUACUGGGCGUAAAGCGCAUGUAGGCGGUCCGGUAAGUCAGGUGUGAAAUCCCGGGGCUCAACCUCGGAAGGGCACAUGAUACUGCCGGACUUGAGUACUGGAGAGGAGAGUGGAAUUCCCGGUGUAGAGGUGAAAUUCGUAGAUAUCGGGAGGAACACCAGUGGCGAAGGCGACUCUCUGGACAGAUACUGACGCUGAGGCACGAAAGCCAGGGGAGCAAACGGG
Molecule: ribosomal RNA, 253 nt
Filed under: uncultured bacterium
Lineage: Bacteria
Description: partial 16S ribosomal RNA
Rfam family: Bacterial small subunit ribosomal RNA
Source: RNAcentral